CCAGACUCCUACGGGAGGCAGCAGUGGGGGAUAUUGCACAAUGGGGGAAACCCUGAUGCAGCGACGCCGCGUGAGUGAAGAAGUAUUUCGGUAUGUAAAGCUCUAUCAGCAGGGAAGAAAAUGACAGUACCUGACCAAGAAGCCCCGGCUAACUACGUGCCAGCAGCCGCGGUAAUACGUAGGGGGCAAGCGUUAUCCGGAUUUACUGGGUGUAAAGGGAGCGUAGACGGUUAUGUAAGUCUGGAGUGAAAGCCCGGGGCCCAACCCCGGGACUGCUUUGGAAACUGUUGAACUAGAUUGCAGGAGAGGUAAGUGGAAUUCCUAGUGUAGCGGUGAAAUGCGUAGAUAUUAGGAGGAACACCAGUGGCGAAGGCGGCUUACUGGACUGUAAAUGACGCUGAGGCUCGAAAGCGUGGGGAGCAAACAGGAUUAGAUACCCCGGUA
This 444-nucleotide ribosomal RNA is filed under the name uncultured bacterium. RNAcentral's name for it is "bacterial SSU rRNA". It matches the Rfam family "Bacterial small subunit ribosomal RNA", at positions 331 to 792 of the family's 1533-position model. The record is from RNAcentral.